Molecule: non-coding RNA, 83 nt
Organism: Bombyx mori (domestic silkworm)
Lineage: Eukaryota; Metazoa; Arthropoda; Insecta; Lepidoptera; Bombycidae
Source: Rfam
CGAGCUCAAAUUUGUAUGGAGUUGAAACGUUUGCCUCGUUUGCCAUUAAGGGCGCUGUUCCAACUUCAUACAAAUUUGAGUUA